Small RNA from Salmonella enterica subsp. enterica serovar Typhimurium, 75 nucleotides. It matches the Rfam family "isrJ Hfq binding RNA". The record is from Rfam. NCBI's taxonomy places the organism in Bacteria, Pseudomonadati, Pseudomonadota, Gammaproteobacteria, Enterobacterales, Enterobacteriaceae.
UGUAAAUCUGAUAUCGUCGCCAUAGCUUCAAUCGUCGACCAAACAAAUUCAAGCCUCGCCAUCGUGCGGGGUUUU